GGGAGCCUGAGAAACGGCUACCACAUCCAAGGAAGGCAGCAGGCGCGCAAAUUACCCACUCCCGGCACGGGGAGGUAGUGACGAAAAAUAACGAUACGGGACUCAUCCGAGGCCCCGUAAUCGGAAUGAGAACACUUUAAAUCUUUUAACGAGUACCUAAUGGAGGGCAAGUCUGGUGCCAGCAGCCGCGGUAAUUCCAGCUCCAUUGGCGUAUAUUAAAGUUGUUGCGGUUAAAAAGCUCGUAGUUGGAUCUGUGUAUCGGACAGCCGGUUCGCCGCUCGCGGCGUUCAACUGGUUAGUUCGGACGUCCUGCCGGUGGGCGUCUCGCGCAAGCGGGGCGCCCGUAGUACCCUCCGGGCUGCUCUUAACCGGGUGGCUCGGUGGGCCGGCACGUUUACUUUGAACAAAUUUGAGUGCUCAAAGCAGGCCUUUGGUUGCCUGAAAACUGUGUGCAUGGAAUAAUGGAAUAGGGCCUCGGUUCUAUUUUGUUGGCUUUUCUGAACUUGAGGUAAUGAUUAAUAGGGACAGACGGGGGCAUUCGUAUUGCGACGUUAGAGGUGAAAUUCUUGGAUCGUCGCAAGACGAACGGAUGCGAAAGCGUUUGCCAAGAAUGUUUUCGCUAAUCAAGAACGAAAGUUAGAGGUUCGAAGGCGAUCAGAUACCGCCCUAGUUCUAACCAUAAACGAUGCCAGCCAGCGAUGCGCCGAAGUUCCUCCGAUGACUCGGCGCGCAGCUUCCGGGAAACCAAAGCUUUUGGGUUCCGGGGGAAGUAUGGUUGCAAAGCUGAAACUUAAAGGAAUUGACGGAAGGGCACCACCAGGAGUGGAGCCUGCGGCUUAAUUUGACCCAACACGGGAAACCUCACCAGGCCCGGACAUCGGAAGGAUUGACAGAUUGAGAGCUCUUUCUUGAUUCGAUGGGUGGUGGUGCAUGGCCGUUCUUAGUUGGUGGAGCGAUUUGUCUGGUUAAUUCCGAUAACGAACGAGACUCUAACCUGCUAAAUAGGCGCGGGGAUCUUUACGCUCCCCGCGUAGCAAUCUUCUUAGAGGGACAGGCGGCUUCUAGCCGCACGAGAUUGAGCAAUA
RNAcentral lists this ribosomal RNA (1085 nucleotides) under Neocloeon triangulifer. RNAcentral's name for it is "SSU rRNA". It matches the Rfam family "Eukaryotic small subunit ribosomal RNA", at positions 390 to 1455 of the family's 1831-position model. Lineage: Eukaryota; Metazoa; Arthropoda; Insecta; Ephemeroptera; Baetidae. The record is from RNAcentral.